CCAAAAGCUGGCGACCGGCGCACGGGUGAGUAACACGUAUCCAACCUGCCUCAUACUCGGGGAUAGCCUUUCGAAAGAAAGAUUAAUAUCCGAUAGCAUAUAUUUCCCGCAUGGGUUUUAUAUUAAAGAAAUUCGGUAUGAGAUGGGGAUGCGUUCCAUUAGUUUGUUGGGGGGUAACGGGCCCACCAAGACUACGAUGGAUAGGGGUUCUGAGAGGAAGGUCCCCCACAUUGGAACUGAGACACGGUCCAA
Molecule: ribosomal RNA, 252 nt
Filed under: uncultured bacterium
Lineage: Bacteria
Description: partial 16S ribosomal RNA
Rfam family: Bacterial small subunit ribosomal RNA
Source: RNAcentral